AUGAGUCUCCUCAGCUGGAACUGCCGCGACGCGGGCAAGGCCAUGACAGUCCAAGAGCUUCGUGAGCUAGCACGAAAAUUUGCCCCUACCCUGCUUUGUAUCGUCGAAACCCAAAUUGAUAUAUUUAGGGUAGAAAAUCUAGCAAGUACUCUUGGUCAUGACAAUGCUUUUGCUGUUAGCAUUCAAGGCCAUAGUGGUAGCCUCGGAAUAUUUUGGAAUAACCCAAUAAAGGUUGAAAAUUUGGGCUACUCAAUGUAUCAUAUAGAUUGUAAGAUAGAUGUGUUGGGGAUCGUUGCAGAAAUUAAAAAAUUUCUACGCAUCACCAAGAUCAAUCUAUGGAGUAACUAG
RNAcentral lists this ribosomal RNA (348 nucleotides) under Triticum aestivum (bread wheat). RNAcentral's name for it is "partial small subunit ribosomal RNA". Lineage: Eukaryota; Viridiplantae; Streptophyta; Magnoliopsida; Poales; Poaceae. The record is from RNAcentral.